CCAUAUUUCGGGCCUAUAUUUUUACCCAAACCCUCCCAUAUUUCGGGCGGGCCGUCGGGCCGGGCCGGGCCACCCGGCCCAUGAGCACCUCUACUUAAGACACCUAACUAUAGUUGACAUUUUAAUGAAAAGUUCUUUUUUGAGAAAUAAAAAAUGAAAAGUUAUAGUUGAAACUUUUUUUCAAUAAAAAAUGCAACAAUUUUAUUUGACUAUAUGUUGAUUAAAAAAAAAUCAAAAGGAAUAAGGAAAAAAAAAGGGAAGGAAAGGGAAGAAGAAAGAAAAAAAGUCUUGUAUUUUUUAUGUUUUUUUGGGUGUAAUUAUCAUAUUCAAGGCAUUAUAAGAC
RNAcentral lists this long non-coding RNA (343 nucleotides) under Gossypium raimondii (Peruvian cotton). RNAcentral describes it as "long non-coding RNA (GRAI_LNC001671)". The record is from RNAcentral. Lineage: Eukaryota; Viridiplantae; Streptophyta; Magnoliopsida; Malvales; Malvaceae.